Molecule: ribosomal RNA, 1232 nt
Filed under: Staphylococcus aureus
Lineage: Bacteria; Bacillati; Bacillota; Bacilli; Caryophanales; Staphylococcaceae
Description: bacterial LSU rRNA
Rfam family: Bacterial large subunit ribosomal RNA
Source: RNAcentral
AGAUUAAGUUAUUAAGGGCGCACGGUGGAUGCCUUGGCACUAGAAGCCGAUGAAGGACGUUACUAACGACGAUAUGCUUUGGGGAGCUGUAAGUAAGCUUUGAUCCAGAGAUUUCCGAAUGGGGAAACCCAGCAUGAGUUAUGUCAUGUUAUCGAUAUGUGAAUACAUAGCAUAUCAGAAGGCACACCCGGAGAACUGAAACAUCUUAGUACCCGGAGGAAGAGAAAGAAAAUUCGAUUCCCUUAGUAGCGGCGAGCGAAACGGGAAGAGCCCAAACCAACAAGCUUGCUUGUUGGGGUUGUAGGACACUCUAUACGGAGUUACAAAGGACGACAUUAGACGAAUCAUCUGGAAAGAUGAAUCAAAGAAGGUAAUAAUCCUGUAGUCGAAAAUGUUGUCUCUCUUGAGUGGAUCCUGAGUACGACGGAGCACGUGAAAUUCCGUCGGAAUCUGGGAGGACCAUCUCCUAAGGCUAAAUACUCUCUAGUGACCGAUAGUGAACCAGUACCGUGAGGGAAAGGUGAAAAGCACCCCGGAAGGGGAGUGAAAUAGAACCUGAAACCGUGUGCUUACAAGUAGUCAGAGCCCGUUAAUGGGUGAUGGCGUGCCUUUUGUAGAAUGAACCGGCGAGUUACGAUUUGAUGCAAGGUUAAGCAGUAAAUGUGGAGCCGUAGCGAAAGCGAGUCUGAAUAGGGCGUUUAGUAUUUGGUCGUAGACCCGAAACCAGGUGAUCUACCCUUGGUCAGGUUGAAGUUCAGGUAACACUGAAUGGAGGACCGAACCGACUUACGUUGAAAAGUGAGCGGAUGAACUGAGGGUAGCGGAGAAAUUCCAAUCGAACCUGGAGAUAGCUGGUUCUCUCCGAAAUAGCUUUAGGGCUAGCCUCAAGUGAUGAUUAUUGGAGGUAGAGCACUGUUUGGACGAGGGGCCCCUCUCGGGUUACCGAAUUCAGACAAACUCCGAAUGCCAAUUAAUUUAACUUGGGAGUCAGAACAUGGGUGAUAAGGUCCGUGUUCGAAAGGGAAACAGCCCAGACCACCAGCUAAGGUCCCAAAAUAUAUGUUAAGUGGAAAAGGAUGUGGCGUUGCCCAGACAACUAGGAUGUUGGCUUAGAAGCAGCCAUCAUUUAAAGAGUGCGUAAUAGCUCACUAGUCGAGUGACACUGCGCCGAAAAUGUACCGGGGCUAAACAUAUUACCGAAGCUGUGGAUUGUCCUUUGGACAAUGGUAGGA